AGUGAACGCUGGCGGUAGGCCUAACACAUGCAAGUCGAACGGCAGCACAGUAAGAGCUUGCUCUUACGGGUGGCGAGUGGCGGACGGGUGAGGAAUACAUCGGAAUCUACUUUUUCGUGGGGGAUAACGUAGGGAAACUUACGCUAAUACCGCAUACGACCUACGGGUGAAAGCAGGGGAUCUUCGGACCUUGCGCGAUUGAAUGAGCCGAUGUCGGAUUAGCUAGUUGGCGGGGUAAGGGCCCACCAAGGCGACGAUCCGUAGCUGGUCUGAGAGGAUGCUCAGCCACACUGGAACUGAGACACGGUCCAGACUCCUACGGGAGGCAGCAGUGGGGAAUAUUGGACAAUGGGCGCAAGCCUGAUCCAGCCAUACCGCGUGGGUGAAGAAGGCCUUCGGGUUGUAAAGCCCUUUUGUUGGGAAAGAAAAGCAGCAGGUUAAUACCCCGCUGUUCUGACGGUACCCAAAGAAUAAGCACCGGCUAACUUCGUG
This 492-nucleotide ribosomal RNA is filed under the name uncultured bacterium. RNAcentral describes it as "partial 16S ribosomal RNA". It matches the Rfam family "Bacterial small subunit ribosomal RNA", at positions 29 to 507 of the family's 1533-position model. The record is from RNAcentral.